UUGUAGAGGCAACCAGGGAAAUAAAGCUGAUUAUAUCAAAGUCACGUGUUUAGCCCACUGAAAACAUUAACUCUACUUCGCCGUGAACUGACGGCAGAUUAAUUCUUUAAUGAAACGUGUUAAUAUUAUAUCUAUUUGAAUAAUGACUAGAUCUAAAUGACUUAAUUGUAGACGGAAAUAGUUGAUUACAGCGAGGUUAUUCAACCUGGGAAAUACCAUUCUCGUACAUUUGGUUCGUUCUUUGAUACAACCAGGACUGUCUUUACCCGUAUGACGAUACACCGCACAAGUUACACCCAUAAUGAACCUGGAGGAGAAUAGUCCCUAAGGCUUUUGAAUAUUCAGAUUUCAAAAUGGCAGAAGGAGACGAGGUAUAUACGUGGUCAGAGACUGGAAGCGAUCAUAGAUACAGCGGCCUAUACAGCCGUCACUCUCGAAAUUAUGUGGAAAGUGUGUCCAUAGAGAUCUGUACUAUAAUGACCCGGCUUGGGUACGGCGAGAUGAUGAGACGGUGGCGCGUUGAGAAGUACAGGGAGUAUGACAGGCUGUGGAAUGCA
This is a long non-coding RNA of Dreissena polymorpha, 557 nucleotides long. RefSeq lists it as uncharacterized. Lineage: Eukaryota; Metazoa; Mollusca; Bivalvia; Myida; Dreissenidae. The record is from RefSeq and is a predicted model, not a curated record. The transcript is spliced from 4 exons.